RNAcentral lists this ribosomal RNA (485 nucleotides) under Staphylococcus aureus. RNAcentral's name for it is "partial 23S ribosomal RNA". It matches the Rfam family "Bacterial large subunit ribosomal RNA", at positions 89 to 568 of the family's 2925-position model. The record is from RNAcentral. Lineage: Bacteria; Bacillati; Bacillota; Bacilli; Caryophanales; Staphylococcaceae. RNAcentral also lists the same sequence under 1 other name.
UAAGUAAGCUUUGAUCCAGAGAUUUCCGAAUGGGGAAACCCAGCAUGAGUUAUGUCAUGUUAUCGAUAUGUGAAUACAUAGCAUAUCAGAAGGCACACCCGGAGAACUGAAACAUCUUAGUACCCGGAGGAAGAGAAAGAAAAUUCGAUUCCCUUAGUAGCGGCGAGCGAAACGGGAAGAGCCCAAACCAACAAGCUUGCUUGUUGGGGUUGUAGGACACUCUAUACGGAGUUACAAAGGACGACAUUAGACGAAUCAUCUGGAAAGAUGAAUCAAAGAAGGUAAUAAUCCUGUAGUCGAAAAUGUUGUCUCUCUUGAGUGGAUCCUGAGUACGACGGAGCACGUGAAAUUCCGUCGGAAUCUGGGAGGACCAUCUCCUAAGGCUAAAUACUCUCUAGUGACCGAUAGUGAACCAGUACCGUGAGGGAAAGGUGAAAAGCACCCCGGAAGGGGAGUGAAAUAGAACCUGAAACCGUGUGCUUACA